RNAcentral lists this ribosomal RNA (250 nucleotides) under uncultured bacterium. RNAcentral describes it as "partial 16S ribosomal RNA". It matches the Rfam family "Bacterial small subunit ribosomal RNA", at positions 524 to 774 of the family's 1533-position model. The record is from RNAcentral.
UACGGAGGGUGCGAGCGUUGUCCGGAAUCACUGGGCGUAAAGGGCGCGUAGGCGGCCUGAUAAGUAGGGGGUGAAAUCCUGCGGCUUAACCGCAGGGCUGCCUUCUAAACUGUCAGGCUAGAGCACAGUAGAGGCAGGUGGAAUUCCCGGUGUAGCGGUGGAAUGCGUAGAGAUCGGGAAGAACAUCAGUGGCGAAGGCGGCCUGCUGGGCUGUUGCUGACGCUGAGGCGCGACAGCGUGGGAGCAACGA